This 431-nucleotide ribosomal RNA is filed under the name uncultured bacterium. Its description in RNAcentral is "partial 16S ribosomal RNA". It matches the Rfam family "Bacterial small subunit ribosomal RNA", at positions 29 to 507 of the family's 1533-position model. The record is from RNAcentral.
AACGAACGCUGGCGGCAGGCUUAACACAUGCAAGUCGAGCGCCCCGCAAGGGGAGCGGCAGACGGGUGAGUAACGCGUGGGAACGUACCUUUUGGUUCGGAACAACUCCGGGAAACUGGAGCUAAUACCGGAUAAGCCCUAACGGGGAAAGAUUUAUCGCCGAAAGAUCGGCCCGCGUCUGAUUAGCUAGUUGGUGAGGUAACGGCUCACCAAGGCGACGAUCAGUAGCUGGUCUGAGAGGAUGAUCAGCCACACUGGGACUGAGACACGGCCCAGACUCCUACGGGAGGGAGCAGUGGGGAAUAUUGGACAAUGGGCGCAAGCCUGAUCCAGCCAUGCCGCGGGAGUGAUGAAGGCCUUAGGGUUGUAAAGCUCUUUUGUCCGGGAAGAUAAUGACUGUACCGGAAGAAUAAGCCCCGGCUAACUUCGUG